GAUGAAGAACGCAGCGAAAUGCGAUAAGUAAUGCGAAUUGCAGAAUUCCAGUGAGUCAUCGAAUCUUUGAACGCACAUUGCGCCCUUUGGUAUUCCGAAGGGCAUGCCUGUUCGAGCGUCAUUAUCACCCCUCAAGCCCCUCGGCUUGGUGUUGGGCGACGUCCUCUUUGGGGACGCGCCUCGAAACGCUCGGCGGCGUGGCACCGGCUUUAAGCGUAGCAGAAUCUUUCGCUUUGGAAGUCGGGGCCCCGUCUGCCGGAAGACCUGCUCGCAAGGUUGACCUCGGAUCAGGCAGGGAUACCCGCUGAACUUAAGCAUAUCAAUAAGCGGAGGA
RNAcentral lists this unclassified non-coding RNA (334 nucleotides) under soil metagenome. RNAcentral describes it as "partial contains 5.8S ribosomal RNA, internal transcribed spacer 2, and large subunit ribosomal RNA". The stretch from base 1 to 121 matches the Rfam family "5.8S ribosomal RNA", at positions 35 to 154 of the family's 154-position model. The record is from RNAcentral.